This is a long non-coding RNA of Olea europaea var. sylvestris, 5004 nucleotides long. RefSeq lists it as uncharacterized. Lineage: Eukaryota; Viridiplantae; Streptophyta; Magnoliopsida; Lamiales; Oleaceae. The record is from RefSeq and is a predicted model, not a curated record. The transcript is spliced from 2 exons.
GGAAAUUGGAAAUUUGGGAUCAACAUUCCACAAUAGUCGUAUACGAUAUACUGUCCCCAAUUUUUUCUCUUUCGUCACACCGUGUGUUUUUCUCCUUCACUCAUCCAUUACUUCUGCCUCUGUUUUGUUCUCGAGCCGUGGCGUCACUGCUUGCCUUGGUAUCUUGGAAACUAUACAUUAAAAAUGACUUGGAAUAUCAUAAUUUAUUCAACUAGUCUUUAUUUGGCAUUCCCCCCCUCCUAUUUGUAUUGCUUUAUGUAUAUUUUUAUUAUGAAUGCUUGAUUUGGCUUAGUAUUACGUUUUGCUAAAUUGGCUUAAUAUUAUAUUUUUGUUUCCAUUGAUUUUUUUCAUAAAUUGUUUUUUCUAAUUUGACGGCUGGAUCUAAAAAUAAUAAUUUAUUUUCGGGACUAUUAACGAUCGAAUCGAUCCAAAUUACAUGGUUAUGGUAUGGCCAAAAAAUUGGUGAAUCGGUGAUGAUUUUGGCCGAACCGACCCUGAUUCAAACCGUUGCUAUCCCUACACAAAAAAUAAAGUCUAAUAUCUAGUUCAAUAAUAUUUAUCAAAUUCUAAGUUAUGCAAUAUCGAAAGAGAUGGUUAGUAUGUUUUCAAUACUAAUCCUAAACUAAGAAAUUAAAUAAAACAUUUAUUUAAUAUGUGAAUAUUUGAAUUGAAAUCGUGAAUCCCCCUGUUGCCAUUUAAUUCAAUUUUUAAUUCGUAAUCUAGUAAAUUUAUGCAUUCAAGACAAUCAAUAAUCCACUUUUAUUCAAUAUUCAUUUCCAAGAUAUAUUAAACCUAUGUUUAAUAUGACUCGAUUCUAUUCCUAAUCCAAAUUCAUAUGAAAAUAUGCAUUGAUUUAGAGGGAUUUAUCACACGUAAUUGCACAUAUCAUAGAUAUUGUUCCUAGCACCUAUUGUUCACUUGUUGAUUUUAUUGCGUUCUAGACUUAUUGUGAGUAUUCCUACGCUACAAAAAGCAACUUACUAUUUAAUUAGUGAUCAAGCAAUUAAAUAGUUCAAUGGGAAUGCAAAAUCAAUCAAGAAAAAUCAAGAAAUACUAAACUAAUUAUCAUGAACUAAAAUAAACAAACACUAAAGUUCAUCUUUUAUCCAAUACAAUGAAAAACUUAGCCUAACGUUCUUAUGAUUAAAUUACACAAGAAUAAUUGGAAACAUAUCACAUAAAAAUAAAAAAAUAUGGAAAAAGUAUGAGAAAUUCAUGUUCUUGACUCAAAUCUUGAAAUCGAGAUAUGAAUCUUCAAAAUUUUUGUAUGAUUCUCUCGAAAAUAUGUAGAAUAUGAUGAAAUUUAGGUUGAAUGGAGUUUUUUUACUUUCUGAUCGAGUUUUGGUAUUUAAAGGAUGUCAAAAAGAUUGCAAUGAAUUGUUACCAAAAUAAAAUAAGAAAAAUCGAGUUUUUUUUUUUUUUAUUUUAGUACUGUGGCGCGUGCCUCUCCUGCAGGCAAGUGUGCUUACUUCGCAUAAUUUUUGACAACUAAACAACUUUCAGUAUUUUUUUCAUAAUUUUCUUGUUUUAUAUCUGAUUGAGCUGAUUCAAAGUGUAUUGAUAAUGUCACUCAAAGUGCUACAAUUCUUCUAUAAGUAUCAUUUUUUCAAUUCGAAUAUCUACUGUGCCAAAAUUGGGUCUCAAUAUAAGGCUGAAAAUUCGAAGUAUAACUUUUUUGGUUGAAAGUUAUUGUACGAUAAUACUUUGACUAUACUUUAUCUCUUUGACUUAUUUCAUCAUCCAAUUGACCCUUAGCACUUUCAAAUCUUCAUUGUGAGGUUCAACAAAGCUUUUUAAUACUUAUACUUUAGUCCCCGAAUUGGAUUUGCUUUAUUUCAGCCCUUUUUUUCUUGCAAUCUUGUUCUUGUAUCUUUAAAUUGUAUCCAAUUAAAUCCUUGGCAUCUUUGAUCUUCAUUUCAUUACCCAUCUCAUCUAUGAAUUGUUUUCAAUUGAUUUCUCGACUUUUGGAUUUCACCAUUUUUCACUAUUUUUGUAUUCUUUUCUCCAAUUCGUCAUCAAAUAUUGAGUUUUACCUUCAAAAUACAAUACAAUACAACAUAAGUUAUGUAGUAUUUUAUCCGAAGAAGACUAAAAUAUUAUCAUUUAGGAUAUCUAAUAAGUGUAAUACUACAUUUAUCACAGCAACACGGUGUUGCAUUAAACUGUUCUCAAAUACUGUCUGCAUAAAAUAUUGUAUGCACCCAUUUAGAUUUAGAUUAAAAAGUAAAUUUGCUAACGAAUGAUGCAAUAUAGGUUUCCUGAAGUCCUUAAAUUUCUACGUAGUUCUGUCAAACUCACCACAUAGAAAUCUCCACCUGUUAAAAGAUAUCUCUCUCUCCUACCAUCACAAAAUUAUAUUAGAUUAACAAGAUUCACCAAGUUGCAAUGCAUUACUAAUAUGCACCAAAACCAUUGGAAUCAACACUAAAAUAACAAAGCCGAUCAGUUUCCAGGUACCCAAUUUUGUAGGUUGAUAUUCCCAAAGAAUGUCUUUUUCAAGGGCUGGGACGGAUACAACACGAGAAAUCUAGACAUCACCGAUCGUUUUCCUGUCUCUAGAGGCCUUUGAUUAUGUAUAUAACCCAUGAUUGAAAGGGAAAACAGUAACCAUUGUUAGGCAGUGUUAUAAAUUGAGAUAGACCGCAAGCAAUGCUAGAAAUGGAAAGCAUCAUGCAAAGGCUGUUAAAUUUGGUAAAAUUGAGGCACAAGGACAAGGAGAAAUCUACAAACCUGAAUACAAUCAAAGAUGUUUCCCAAUAUUCCUGGACCUAAUUCCACUGAUAUGGCUUGCAAUGGGCAAAUAGGUAUAGAUAAACCUAGAAUCAUCUCAACUCUUCAAGUUAAAAAAUGUCAUUUCCAACACGAACUAAUUCAUAUAUAGCAGCUCCUGCCAUUCCAUUAGCAAAAACCACAGGUCCAGAUGCCUGUUGAAAAAGAAAAUUCCACCCAGUAGCAACAGAAAUACUAGAGCUAUUUUAGCAUUAAAGUCUGUAUGUUUUAAACGAAGCAAUGCUAGGGCACAAAUUUUAUUGCCAAGAAAUGCAUCCCCAUGGGCGGAUCCACAUGUGAUCAUGUGAGUCCACAAAAAUAUUUGAUUUGAUUUUUUUAUUUUUCAAAAUUUCUGUAGCUACUGUAAUUCUUUUUCAAUACAUUUUACUUGAUACUUUUCAUUGUUGUUUGUUUUUACAUUUGAAAGGAGAGUUAAUAAAUGGAGUUCGAUAACUUGUCUUCUUUUAUUGAAAUUUCUAGAUUUUAUAGGGGAUAUUAUCGGGCUUUGAUUUCUUCAAGUGUAACUGCACAUUUGCUUUAUCUAAAUGGGUGUUUAGAAAGGUUGAAGAUAUUAAUUUAAUCGAUAAGUGUUAGCUCUUGGUUUAAAUGAUGAUUCCAAUCUGUAUAGCUAAUAUACAGAUACCAAUACUUACAGCCUACAUGAGUCGAAAUUAUGUAUUAUAAUUCUACAUUGCGACCAAUCUUUGUCAAAAUACAUGAGUUAAAACUUCAAAAUUUUUUAGUGACGAUAAAUUAUUGAAGAGAGGGAAACUAAGAUUGGCCUAUCCAUUUCUAUUCAUACUAUAGCUAACAUAAUUCUCGACCCAUUCAAUUGUCAUUACCAAUUGCAAGUAAACCCCCUCCUUUCACUCUUAUUUUUCACUUCUUUGUUCCCAUCCCUCUAUUAUGGUUUUAUUCCCUGAUCGAUCCUUGGUAAGAAGAUUCCCCUGACCAGCCAAUUUGGAUUGAAAGAGUUUGCUAAUCUGUCUUAUUUAAUCCCCCAACCAUCAUAGCUUUAGCAGUGUUUGAGAGAAUCCAAUUAUCAUCCUCAAAAUCGACCAUAUUAUUUAUGCUUUUCAAGAGUUUUCGUAAGCAGUUUUCUUUGUCCAUCCAUUUCUCUUUAAUUUUUUUCCAUUUCGGAUCAAACAAUGCCAAUUGUAAAAAUGGUGAAAGUGAACCAGCUUCUGUUUGUGAUCUUAUGCCAUUUUAAUUUUCCUUUGUUUUCUUCUGUAAACAAGAAGGAAAUGGAUUUUGACAGCAUUAAUGUGAUCUUAUUCCAUUAUGCAGAAAUGUGAUCUUACAUUAAUGUUAUGUUGUCUUUAAAAAAAUAAAAAAAAUUAAUUUCAUCUUAAUUUUUAACCCCACUAUACAAAAAGUCUGGUUCUGCCCUUGUGUACACCCCUGACUGUUUUUCAAAAAAUUGUUUCCUUUUUGGGUUGCGAGGGGCUGUUUGGAGAUACAUAAACAAUUAAUAUUCUUUUCUGGAAGUUCAUAAAAGCCCAAGAUAUCUCCUCAAAAUUAUGGAAUUCCCCUGGAUAGAAUUAUCUUAUCAAACUAUACUUGAACCGAGAAAUCUGGUUGAUGCAUGCUUUGAACAACCUAUUUAAAAUGAAAAUUAGGGGCCCACAAUGUCAAAUAGCAAUCAAGCAGAACAGAUCCAUUAGAUUUCAAUUCCAUUAGGUAACUUCGGGGCCAUACUGAAUACGAUUUAAAACUCUAAUGCCCAAAUUUUUGAAAUAUCAAAUACUGUGCACUCGCACCAAUAAACAAGUAACAAUUUCAACGUUUAAAGUGAGCUGGAGUAAUAACGUGAGUUCAACGAACGUAACUAGUGCUAUGACAGAUAGGAAAAUAGAAGAAACGAAGGCAAUCAAAAAUAAAAUUGAAUCAGACAGUGAAAAACGAAGUGGAACAGUAUAGAUCGAACCUUGCGAACGUAUCCAUAUACGCUCUCCUUCUCUGAAUCCUCAAAGGUGGUCGAAGGACCUCCGAAAACCGCCGGCAUUUUGCUUGAAAUGGAGUAAGUAGAUCGAAUCAAUAGAAUUAUCCAGCAAUUGAGAUGUUGAAUUCAGAGAGGGUGCUACGAGAAGAAAAAGACUGAGAAGAACAGGAAUGGGCUUAGUAUAGAAAGCAUUAUUGAACUUUUGCAUAGAACUGUCCCCUUCCACUGUUUUCAAAUUCUAUUUUCCAUGUACUCAAUCACACAUUUACAAAAUAAAAUAUUCUGCGCAUGAA